CAGGCCUAACACAUGCAAGUCGAGCGGAUCUUACCUUCGGGUAAGGUUAGCGGCGGACGGGUGAGUAACACGUAGGCAACCUGCCCACAAGACCGGGAUAACAUUCGGAAACGAAUGCUAAGACCGGAUACGCAAUCCUGUCGCAUGACGGGCUUGGGAGACACGGUGUAAGCUGUGGCUUGUGGAUGGGCCUGCGGCGCAUUAGCUAGUUGGUGAGGUAACGGCCCACCAAGGCGACGAUGCGUAGCCGACCUGAGAGGGCGACCGGCCACACUGGGACUGAGACACGGCCCAGACUCCUACGGGAGGCAGCAGUAGGGAAUCUUCCACAAUGGACGCAAGUCUGAUGGAGCAACGCCGCGUGAGUGAGGAAGGCCUUCGGGUCGUAAAGCUCUGCUGCCAGGGAAGAAUAAGGGUGAGUUAACUGCUCACCCGAUGACGGUACCUGAGAAGAAAGCCCCGGCUAACUACGUGCCAGCAGCCGCGGUAAU
RNAcentral lists this ribosomal RNA (491 nucleotides) under uncultured bacterium. Its description in RNAcentral is "bacterial SSU rRNA". It matches the Rfam family "Bacterial small subunit ribosomal RNA", at positions 43 to 524 of the family's 1533-position model. The record is from RNAcentral.